RNAcentral lists this ribosomal RNA (221 nucleotides) under Tetraselmis striata. RNAcentral's name for it is "partial Bacterial small subunit ribosomal RNA". It matches the Rfam family "Bacterial small subunit ribosomal RNA", at positions 574 to 794 of the family's 1533-position model. The record is from RNAcentral. Lineage: Eukaryota; Viridiplantae; Chlorophyta; Chlorodendrophyceae; Chlorodendrales; Chlorodendraceae.
GGCGGCUCAUUAAGUCUGGGGUGAAAGCCCGUUGCUCAACAACGGAACUGCCCUGGAAACUGGUGAGCUUGAGUACAGACGAGGGUGGCGGAAUGGAUGCUGUAGCGGUGAAAUGCAUAGAUAGCAUCCAGAACCCCGAUUGCGAAGGCAGCUGACUAGGCUGUUACUGACGCUGAGGCACGAAAGCGUGGGGAGCGAACAGGAUUAGAUACCCUGGUAGU